This is a long non-coding RNA of Saccostrea echinata, 430 nucleotides long. RefSeq lists it as uncharacterized. The record is from RefSeq and is a predicted model, not a curated record. Lineage: Eukaryota; Metazoa; Mollusca; Bivalvia; Ostreida; Ostreidae. The transcript has 3 exons.
UAAAUAGUAAAUGCACAUUCGCUCAAUGGCCAAUAUAAUCAACAGGUUUCAUGCACAGAUGCUAUCUGCCGAAUGUUGGUCUAGUUGACAGAGAUCAUGGACACGAGCUCUACAAUAAGUGAAGAAAGAAGGCAGGCUGUACAGAAAUUUUGUAGAAUGUACAUUCUGUUUAUGACGACAAUGUCCGGAACUCCUUAGGACCGGUGGAGGUGACCCAAAUUGAGGAGAUGGCACGUGUAAAUAACACAGAAAGGAGGGACCUCCAGCUAAUGUAUGAGUGGAGGACGUUCCCAAGGGGUGAAGUCGCAAAGUCCCCAAACACCUAAAUUGGGAACUUCUAAAACAUAAUUUGCAUUCGACCAGCGGAUGACUUUAAUGAAUUUAAUUUUCUUUGAAAUUUUAUAAAUGAUGAUAAAUUGUAUUCACCAUC